UGGGGGAUAUUGCACAAUGGGCGAAAGCCUGAUGCAGCGACGCCGCGUGGGGGAUGAAGGCCUUCGGGUUGUAAACUUCUUUUGCUCUGAACAAGGCAUGCCUUUGGGGUGUGUUGAGUGCAGGGGUUGAUUAGCGCCGGCUAACUACGUUCCAGCAGCCGCGGUAAUACGUAGGGCGCGAGCGUUGUCCGGAAUUAUUGGGCGUAAAGGGCUUGUAGGUGGCUGGUUGCGUCUGUCGUGAAAGCUCAUGGCUUAACUGUGGGUUUGCGGUGGGUACGGGCUGGCUUGAGUGCAGUAGAGGAGGAUGGAAUUCCUGGUGUAGCGGUGGAAUGCGCAGAUAUCAGGAGGAAUACCGGUGGCGAAGGCGGGUCUCUGGGCUGUUACUGACGCUGAGGAGCGAAAGCGUGGGGAGCGAACAGG
Molecule: ribosomal RNA, 420 nt
Filed under: Fusobacteriota bacterium
Lineage: Bacteria; Fusobacteriati; Fusobacteriota
Description: Fusobacteria bacterium partial 16S ribosomal RNA
Rfam family: Bacterial small subunit ribosomal RNA
Source: RNAcentral